UUUUUUUGAAAAGUAAUUUUCAUUUAAAUUUUGAUUAAAGGUAAAAAAAAACAAAAGAAAAAAAAAUUAAGGUAGCUAUUACAUACUCAGAAUUCGCAAAAAUAAAAAAAAACUAACACUACUGUAGUUUCGCUCCCCCUUCACGUACUGCUCCUCCUUCACCUCUUCACUGCUCCUCCUUCUCCUUCACCUCUCUUCCUUCUCUGUCGCUGCAUCUCACUCCAUUAAUUGUUGUUUUGGCUUGUUCGAAUUUGGGAUCAGCUAUAGGGGACUUUUAUCAAAGUUUGAGAUCAAGGAGCAUAUAUGGCCAUUCAACAAAGUCAAGAGCAAACUUCCUCAAGCCAAGAUGUUGCUUUGCAAGCCACAUCAUCUAAGAAGAGGAGUAGGGGGCCAUCAAAGGCAAUACAAUCAAGUAAGCCUAUGGUGCUUGAAUUUAAUGAUUUUGACUUGCCUACUGGUGAAUGGGAACCCGCUUAUGGAAAACAAAUUGGUGCAUGUGCUAAGAGAUUAGACAUCACUGUGAAUGAGUAUGCAAAAAUAGAUAAAGUGGACCGGGAAAAUAUAUGGGAAGAGACAAAGCGAAUGUUCCACAUUGAGGAUCCAAGUGGAGAAAGGCAAAAAAGAUUUCAUAGUGCUGUGGCUUCGCGAUUCAGCUGUCACAAGUCGAAUUUAAGGGCACGAUUCAUCACUUUUAAAAACCCAUAUACCCGGCCACUUUUCCUAAAGCAAAUAUGAAGCCAUGGGAAGUGUAUGAAGGUUACUUUACAGAGGAGAAAUGGAAGAGAUUCGAAAUAUAUAGUAAAUCAGCAGAAUUCAAGGAAAAGAGUGAAAAGGGGAAGGAAAAUGCAAAGCUAAAAAAAUGUCGCCAUCACUUGGGUCGAAACAGUUUUCAAAGAGCUUGGAUAAUUUGGAAUAAGCAAAAGAGACUUGAAAAUAGAUUUCCUGCUCUGGCAGAAUCUUCAACUACUGGCCACACUUCCCAGAGCAGUACAUCAACUGGUUCUAUUUUUGAUCGUCGAGCUCUUGAGUGGGUUUUAGCUCAUGAAAAGCGGUUGCCAGAUGGAACAUGGGGCAUCGACCCAAAAGAUACGGAGACUAUUCGAAUUGCCAAUAUAGUUGAAGAGAACUUGCAAAAACAAGCAAAGGAAUCUGAGGAAGGAGAGUGUAAACAAUCAGAGCGAGGCGUUGAUGCCCUUACUUUGGCAUUUGGGAAAAAGGACCAUCGUGGAUUUGUGAAAGGACUUGGUGGAUGUGGGAUUGGUGUCGGCUAUAGAAAAGCAUUUGGCCCUGUAAAAGGUAAAAACAUGUCUAAAAGUGGUUGCUCAUUACAAGAACUAGAUGAAUUUAAAGAGAACUUAACUCGGGAAUUUGAAGAAAAAUUAAAGGAAGACAUUGCAGCAGCUGUAAAUUCUUAUCUUUCUGCUUUCAUACGACACAUGACUGUUAAUGAUUUGCAAGUAAAUGAUGCUCAACCUUCCCCAUCUUACUCAACCAAUCCAACGGAGCUAAGUCCUCGCUUGUUAGAGAUCCCAACUAAAUGUCUUCUUGCUUUAGUUGAUGAGUUCAGUGGGAACUCAGUGAUUGUGGCCGAUGGAACGAUAGAACCUUGUCCUAGUGGAGUGAUUCAUAACAAGAAAAUGAACCGUGACAUCUAUAGAGUUAGUGUUGACCAUGUUUAUAGUGAUUAUUCUCACCUAAAUCUCCCAGAAGAGACUGAUGUCGGUAUCACCAAGUUGGGUGAGGCGAAAGGUAAUUUUUUGGGGUGGCCGGCAGAUUUAGUCUUCUUUACUGAUGAGGUUAUGACUUUGGCAAAAAAGACGGAUAAUGAAUUGGUGCAAACCAAAGAGAAAGUUGAUAGUUGCGGACCUAUCAACUCAGAGCAUUCAACUAUUAAAGGCAAAGGCAUAACUAUUCCGGAAAAUAUUGUUGAGAGUCUUGGUGAACAGUGUUCUAUGUUGAACACACAUGACUUCAGGAAGUGGAGAUUAUGAUACUACGACAAUUCCAUUGAAGGCUCCAUUGUUUUAUCAAAAGGAAGACACACAAAUUUAUGUUACUAGUGAUGAUGUCUCUUGAAUUACUACGAGGAGCAUGGGCUAAUAUUUCAUUAAUCCAUGUCUACAUAUUGUACUUAAUUGAAAAGCAUAUCUCAUUAUUUCAGAAGACUAAAAUCAAGUUCUUGUGCCCCCAAAAAAUUUCUGCAGUUGAAAUCAAGAAAGAUUUCCUUGAAGUCCAAAUGUAUUUGAAAAAUGCUUUUCUUACUGAAUUAAGGAAAAAUGAUGCACAAUGCAAAUUCAUUUUGGCUCCAUAUAUGGAAGCGAAUCAUUGGGUACUCUAUGUGAUUGAUUUGCAUAUGAGUCUUGUGUAUGAGUUUGAUUCUGUUAUUCAAUCACCUCCGAACGCUCGAAACUCAGAGUUGUCCAAAGUAAUGAAGAUACCUUACAAUGUAUACAGGUCACACCUUAAAGGAAAUGCUUUCAAAACGAGUAAGCCACAAUUACUAUACAUAAGAAUGGAGUGUGCUCAACAAUGUGGUGGUACCGAAUGUGCUUAUUAUGUGAUGAGAUAUAUGUAUGAGAUAGUAUCUUUCCAUAGCGAUUGCAAGGGUAAUUUGAAAGAGGAGUAUUUGGCAAGACUUGCAGCCUACAACGAUGUAGAAUUGGAUGAGAUUCGAGAACAAUGGGCUAAGUUUUUUAGGCUUAAUUUUUUGUUGAAACACUAGUUAUCUUAUUAAUCGAUGUUAUGAUUUAUCGCAUUUAGCUUAAUAAAAUGAUAUAACACAUUUUUAUAUAUCUACUUUAAUUUUAUUUA
This is an RNA transcript of Chenopodium quinoa (quinoa), 2811 nucleotides long. RefSeq lists it as uncharacterized. The record is from RefSeq and is a predicted model, not a curated record. The transcript has 12 exons. Lineage: Eukaryota; Viridiplantae; Streptophyta; Magnoliopsida; Caryophyllales; Amaranthaceae.